Molecule: long non-coding RNA, 501 nt
Organism: Oreochromis aureus
Lineage: Eukaryota; Metazoa; Chordata; Actinopteri; Cichliformes; Cichlidae
Source: Ensembl
GCUAAAAUUUAAAGCUAACGUUGAAGUGGAUGAAUGCACUAGUUAACCCAUUUCUUGCUGUUCUUGACCUGUUUUAUUAGCAGAGGUGGAAAGUAACAAAGUACAAAUACUUCAAGACAAAAGAGUGUGAGACAAACUUCACUCAGAGAUGAAGGGAGGUGUAGGAUGACAGAGAGGCCACGAGAGAAAGAAGAGAGGUUAGAUUAAAAGGUCAACUAAUGGCUGAAGUCAUGAGUUGAGUUUUGAUACUUAAAGUAUUAAGGUUUGACUCUGCUGAGAUUUCCCUUAUAUACUUGGACUACUUGGCAAGGUGGGGCCCAGCAAGAGACCUACAGCUAUGUAUGAGGGUGUAGGGAGCAGACAAGUGAACAGAAGGAGCCUCUCCUUCUCAAGGUGGGGCCUCUUGUAUGUCUCUAAUACACAUAACAAGACGCUACAACGAAGGACAUCAUCAACUGAUGACAAGAAUACAAUAUUGACACCUUCUUGGGACAAUCAGGC